GCCAGGUGUGGUGGCACGUGCCUGUAGUCUCAGCUACUCGAGAGGCUGAGGCUGGAGGAUCUCUUGAGUACAGGAGUUCUGGGCUGUAGUGCACUAUGCCGAUCGGGUGUCCGCACUAAGUUCGGCAUCAAUAUGGUGACCUCCUGGGAGCAGGGGACCACCAGGUUGCCUAAGGAUGGGUGAACCAGCCCGGGUCAGAAACAGAGCAGGUCAAAACUCCCAUGCUGAUCAGUAGUGGGAUUGAGCCUGUGAAUAACCUGCACUCCAUAGUGUGGGAUCGCGCCUGUACUCCAGCCUGGGUAACAUAACGAGACCCCAUCUCU
RNAcentral lists this signal recognition particle RNA (323 nucleotides) under Aotus nancymaae (Ma's night monkey). RNAcentral's name for it is "Metazoan signal recognition particle RNA (ENSANAG00000004408.1)". It matches the Rfam family "Metazoan signal recognition particle RNA". Rfam says of the family: The signal recognition particle (SRP) is a universally conserved ribonucleoprotein. It is involved in the co-translational targeting of proteins to membranes. The eukaryotic SRP consists of a 300-nucleotide 7S RNA and six proteins: SRPs 72, 68, 54, 19, 14, and 9. The record is from RNAcentral. Lineage: Eukaryota; Metazoa; Chordata; Mammalia; Primates; Aotidae.